This is a long non-coding RNA of Prosopis cineraria, 884 nucleotides long. RefSeq lists it as uncharacterized. The transcript has 2 exons. The record is from RefSeq and is a predicted model, not a curated record. NCBI's taxonomy places the organism in Eukaryota, Viridiplantae, Streptophyta, Magnoliopsida, Fabales, Fabaceae.
AGCCUGGACUAUUUAUCUAAAAAAUAGAAGACUCAGGGAGGGUGGGCGGAGCGAAACCGAGUCCCCUCUCUAGCGCGAAAGCCGUUGCGCGUUAGACACGCGCAUCCGUUUUCUACUUUCUUGCCUGCUCGUUGCUUCUUUGCUUGUUACAGGUUUAUCCCAUAAUCCAGAUUCAGAUUGUGCACACUAUACUUUUGAGCAGUCGAUGGACCACUUGACCUUGUACCAGAGUUCCGAUCUCGCAAACCUGCGUUAACAACAAGAGGGGCCCCGUCGAAUCGCACGAGCGCUUGAACAGGGCUUCAACUGGAGGCUCCUCCCUUCUUUCAAACUUCCGCUAUUUAGCAGUGAUUUCUUCCUCUCUCGAAAACCCACUUCAACAGAAACCAUCGCUUCCCCAAAUAGUUCUGAAACAGGGUGGGUUCACUCUGCUAAGGAAGCACCGUUCGUUCAGACCUGAGAAUCGAGAAGGAGAAGAUAAGGGCGUGGGGGGAAAAGAAGAUGGUGCCGAGAAUCGGAGAGUAUGUUCCUUGUGAAAACUGGAAGAGAUUGAAUUGAAGGAGGCAGAGGAAGAAUCAGCUCCGAGAAGUGAAGUACAUUAAGUGAUGGCUUAGGGAUCUGAGUUUAUUGUCAUGCGCGCUCAAUAGUUGUCGAUUUGUACACAAUGAUCUUCGAUCUUUCUUGGACGACGGGUACAACAAGUGGAGGAGAACGAUUGUCGUCGCGGAAGAUGAUGCAGGAAGUCAAAUGGCGUGCCCACCUUCCGACCUCAUCAAAGGGUACUCGUCGGUUUCUCGGGCUGAUCUAUCCUUCAUUUUAUCUUAAAAUAUGUACCGUUCAUUUUAAAUUAAUAUUGAGUAAAUUGGAAUGAAUUCCCCUCUGUU